UACGGAGGGGGCAAGCGUUGUUCGGAAUCAUUGGGCGUAAAGAGUAUGUAGGCGGCUAUUUAAGUCAGGCGUGCAAGCCCACGGCUCAACCGUGGAAUUGCGUUUGAAACUAUUUAGCUUGAGUUCAGGAGAGGAAGGCGGAAUUCCCAGUGUAGCGGUGAAAUGCAUUGAUAUUGGGAAGAACACCGGUGGCGAAGGCGGCCUUCUGGUCUGAUACUGACGCUGAGAUACGAAAGCCAGGGGAGCGAACGGG
This 253-nucleotide ribosomal RNA is filed under the name uncultured bacterium. RNAcentral's name for it is "partial 16S ribosomal RNA". It matches the Rfam family "Bacterial small subunit ribosomal RNA", at positions 524 to 776 of the family's 1533-position model. The record is from RNAcentral.